UACGUAGGGGGCAAGCGUUAUCCGGAAUUAUUGGGUGUAAAGGGUGCGUAGACGGGAUAACAAGUUGGUUGUGAAACCCCUCGGCUCGACUGAGGAACUGCAACCAAAACUAUUAUUCUUGAGUGCAGGAGAGGAAAGUGGAAUUCCUAGUGUAGCGGUGAAAUGCGUAGAUAUUAGGAAGAACACCGGUGGCGAAGGCGACUUUCUGGACUGUAACUGACGUUGAGGCACGAAAGUGUGGGGAGCAAACAGG
RNAcentral lists this ribosomal RNA (253 nucleotides) under uncultured bacterium. RNAcentral's name for it is "partial 16S ribosomal RNA". It matches the Rfam family "Bacterial small subunit ribosomal RNA", at positions 524 to 776 of the family's 1533-position model. The record is from RNAcentral.